AUCGAUGUGAGAGGUGGGAGGGAUGACUGAAAUGAAGGGCGGACAUGCUGAAAUGAAAACUGGGGACUUGGGAGGUACCUUUGGAAAUAAGCAAAGAUUUGAGGGGUAAAUAUAGAAGCAGCCCUUGUUUUAGGAAGACAUGGUAGAUUCAGGGGUAUAGAUUGAAAAGGAUGUGGUUUCGUUUGAAACUAACUAAGUUUGGAUGAUUUAUAUAUGAUUUAACAAAGAUUGGAUUGAGGGUCUAGCGUGAGAAAUAAAAGCCAAACAUCCAAGAGCUCAGAGCUUAGAGAAUCACAUUUAGCUUUUUAGAAGGGCUGAGAACUCCAUCGAAAAUACAAUCGGAGAGCAAAAGAGAAGGAAACGAUGGAUAAAGAAAAAAAUCCAAAAGCAAAAGAAGGUGCCAAAGAGCAGUAAGUUUAUUCUCCUCAACCUAUGAAGAAAGUCUUUGAUCAUUCUCAGUUAAUCACUCACCUCAUUCUUGUAGAUCCUAUCCAUUUUUUUUUGCAAGUUUUGUGGGGAGCUUUUCAACUCCCUCAAGGAGAUCUUGCUCCAUGUGGGAGCACACUGGGCCCUUAAGAAGCCUGAACCAUGAUUAAUAUGAGGUAUGAUUUGGAUUCAGAUUGAUGCAUGCCAAGUGUUUGAUGAAAUGAGUGGAAAAAGGAAAUAGACUGCGUUAAACGAACAUUUGAUGACCUAACUCAUACAUCAUAUUAGUCAUGGUUCAGGCUUUUUAAGGAUCUAGUGUGCUCCCGCAUAGAGCAAGAUCUCCCUGAGGGAGUUGAAGGACUCCCCACAAAACUUGUAAAAAAACUAGAUCGGAUCUACAAGAAUGAGGUGAGUGAUUAACUGAGAAUGAUCAAAGACUUUUUUUUCAUAGGUUGAGGAGAAUAAACUUACUGCUCUUUGGCACCUUCUUUUGCUUUUGGAUUUUGUCUUUACCCAUCGUUUCCUUCUCUUUUGAUCUCCGAUUGUAUUUUCGAUGGAGUUCUCAGCCCUUCUAAAAAGCUAAAUGCGAUUCUCUGAGCUCUUGGGUGUUUGACUUUUAUUUUUCACGCUAGACCCCCAAUCCAAUCUUUGUUAAUCAUAUAUAAAUCCUCCAACUUUUAAGUUAGUUCCAAAUCAAACCACAUCUUUUUCAAUCUACACCCUUGAAUCUACCAUGUCUUCCUAAAACAAGGGCUGCUUCGAUAUUUACCCCUCAAAUCUUUGCUUAUUACCAAAGGCAACCCCAAGUCUCCAGUUUUCAUUUCAGUAUGCCCGCCCUUCACUGAAAACUGACCCGCUAUACUGACUAAACUAACCUUUUGUAGCUAAUUAGUUAUAAACCCCAUGUUAAUUAACCGCCGGCCCCCUAAAAAAAAGCAAUCUGGCGAUAUUCUCUCUUGAAAACCUGAUGACCAGGCCCCCGACCUGUUCCGAGCUCUCCUGCCAUUCUUCUCCCCCACUUAAUUCUUCUCCCGUGCCUGCAUCAUGUUUGAAGCAUCAUUGGUGCCCAAGUGUUUGUAGGAAUGCCUCAACGGGAUAAUAGCAAGCGUGCAGCAUGUUCGUUGCUGUGUUUCACAUUGUACCAAUCUGUUUGUCAAAAUGCAUCAAUGAAGCAGAGCGACGUGCUUUUCAGCUGUCCAUGUAGAAUACUAUCACCCUUACCAUAUUACAGCAGACCAUACGAAACGCAACCAUGCAACCAUCUAAUCCAUUCUAAAUACGCAGCCUCCCUCUUCAAAUUGAAGAUGGUAGAAUCCAGAAAGGUGAAAAGCAUGAAUCAGUCAGGUUCGUACAUGACCGAGGCCGGUCCGCCAUCAACGUCCCUUCAUCCAUGUCAAAAGUGCACAAAUCGCCAUCCUCGACAUAACGGAUGCAGUUCCCUUUCAAUCCCAGCUUGCUUGCCAAACAGGAUGUUGAACAGCCAGUCGCUCAGAAAGAAAACUCGAUCGCCAAUUUCCCUCACUGGCUCCCACGCUUCCUUCUCAAAGUCCAUCUUGUAAAUACCAAUGCCAGCUUCUGUUCGGCUCCCCAGCAGCAAAUUCCUCAUGACGAGAAAGAUAUCUCUGCAGGAUUCAACCAUGGGAAUCCACAGAUGCACAUAUUCCAGGCAAUAGUUCGGGUCUCUCUACUCUGACAAAAGAGGUUUCAGGGCAGGGAGCAGUAUGUAUAAGUACAAGGUUCUUGCGGAGCGUGAUCCCGUAAAUUUUUCCAUUUAACCCGAUGACAUUGUUAAGAGCAUCCUCCUCUCCGAGAUUUUUAUUGCAGUCGUGAGAAAUCCAACUUUGUUCAGAUCCUAGGUUGCAGAAGUGAACUCGCGGGUUGUUGAAGUCAGCGAGCAUCACGACACAAUCAGGGUUAUUUGGGGAUGAAGAUAGUAUGAGCUUGUGAUCCCUGCGGCCCUCAGUAUCUUCAAGAUUCAGAUAAGGUUGCAGGGCUCAGCAAGAAACAACAGGGGGAGAGUCUUGGCCGUGCGCGAGAACCCAUCCUAGCGGAGAUGGCCAGCAAAUUCUCUACAUUUUCAAUUUCAGGCACAUCUCCAACAGAGAAUCCACUCCCAUUCAAGCCGACAGUAGUUUGUGAGAAUUUGUCAUCUUCCUCAUGGUCGGAGACGAGGCUCGGACCUGACAUCGAUUCUUUCGUCCCUUCCAUCGGACUUCCUGUGACAAUCAGUGUUUUUUUUUUUUUGCAACAAUCAGUGUUUUUUUUCCAUCGGAUUUUUUUCCCUUCAAUUUUUUACAUGUUAAACAUAAAUUUAAGUGCAAGAGGUAGUUAUUCCUCUUUGUGUUAGAGGUGUA
Molecule: long non-coding RNA, 2780 nt
Organism: Asparagus officinalis (garden asparagus)
Lineage: Eukaryota; Viridiplantae; Streptophyta; Magnoliopsida; Asparagales; Asparagaceae
Exons: 2
Source: RefSeq, a predicted model, not a curated record